CGCUGGCGGCGUGCUUAACACAUGCAAGUCGAACGGUGACGGAGAGCUUGCUCGUCCUGAUCAGUGGCGAACGGGUGAGUAACACGUGGGCAACCUGCCCCAGACUUCGGGAUAACGCUUCGAAGAGGUGCUAAUACCGGAUACGAACUCCUUGGGCAUCCUUGGGAGUUGGAAAGUUUUUCGGUCUGGGAUGGGCCCGCGGCCUAUCAGCUUGUUGGUGAGGUAACGGCUCACCAAGGCGACGACGGGUAGCCGGCCUGAGAGGGCGACCGGCCACACUGGGACUGAGACACGGCCCAGACUCCUACGGGAGGCAGCAGUGGGGAAUAUUGCGCAAUGGGCGAAAGCCUGACGCAGCAACGCCGCGUGAGGGAUGACGGCCUUCGGGUUGUAAACCUCUUUCAGCAGGGAAGAAGCGAAAGUGACGGUACCUGCAGAAGAAGCACCGGCUAACUACGUG
This 460-nucleotide ribosomal RNA is filed under the name uncultured bacterium. RNAcentral's name for it is "bacterial SSU rRNA". It matches the Rfam family "Bacterial small subunit ribosomal RNA", at positions 34 to 507 of the family's 1533-position model. The record is from RNAcentral.